Molecule: ribosomal RNA, 445 nt
Filed under: uncultured bacterium
Lineage: Bacteria
Description: partial 16S ribosomal RNA
Rfam family: Bacterial small subunit ribosomal RNA
Source: RNAcentral
CUACGGGAUGCACCAGUGGGGAAUAUUGCACAAUGGGCGAAAGCCUGAUGCAGCAACGCCGCGUGAGGGACGACGGCCUUCGGGUUGUAAACCUCUUUUAGCAGGGAAGAAGCGAAAGUGACGGUACCUGCAGAAAAAGCACCGGCUAACUACGUGCCAGCAGCGCGCGGUAAUACGUAGGGUGCAAGCGUUGUCCGGAAUUAUUGGGCGUAAAGAGCUCGUAGGCGGUUUGUCGCGUCUGCUGUGAAAAUCCGAGGCUCAACCUCGGACCUGCAGUGGGUACGGGCAAACUAGAGUGCGGUAGGGGAGAUUGGAAUUCCUGGUGUAGCGGUGGAAUGCGCAGAUAUCAGGAGGAACACCAAUGGCGAAGGCAGAUCUCUGGGCCGUAACUGACGCUGAGGAGCGAAAGCGUGGGGAGCGAACAGGAUUAGAUACCCUUGUAGUC